UGUCACAAUAAAGUUCCUGAUUUUUCACAGC
This 31-nucleotide non-coding RNA is filed under the name Rattus norvegicus (Norway rat). The record is from RNAcentral. Lineage: Eukaryota; Metazoa; Chordata; Mammalia; Rodentia; Muridae.